GAUGAACGCUGGCGGCGUGCCUAAUACAUGCAAGUCGAGCGAACAGACGAGGAGCUUGCUCCUCUGACGUUAGCGGCGGACGGGUGAGUAACACGUGGAUAACCUACCUAUAAGACUGGGAUAACUUCGGGAAACCGGAGCUAAUACCGGAUAAUAUAUUGAACCGCAUGGUUCAAUAGUGAAAGACGGUUUUGCUGUCACUUAUAGAUGGAUCCGCGCCGCAUUAGCUAGUUGGUAAGGUAACGGCUUACCAAGGCGACGAUGCGUAGCCGACCUGAGAGGGUGAUCGGCCACACUGGAACUGAGACACGGUCCAGACUCCUACGGGAGGCAGCAGGAGGGAAUCUUCCGCAAUGGGCGAAAGCCUGACGGAGCAACGCCGCGUGAGUGAUGAAGGUCUUCGGAUCGUAAAACGCUGUUAUUAGGGAAGAACAAAUGUGUAAGUAACUAUGCACGUCUUGACGGUACCGAAUCAGAAAGCCACGGCUAACUACGU
Molecule: ribosomal RNA, 496 nt
Filed under: uncultured bacterium
Lineage: Bacteria
Description: partial 16S ribosomal RNA
Rfam family: Bacterial small subunit ribosomal RNA
Source: RNAcentral